This 464-nucleotide ribosomal RNA is filed under the name Vreelandella stevensii. RNAcentral's name for it is "partial 16S ribosomal RNA". It matches the Rfam family "Bacterial small subunit ribosomal RNA", at positions 338 to 795 of the family's 1533-position model. The record is from RNAcentral. Lineage: Bacteria; Pseudomonadati; Pseudomonadota; Gammaproteobacteria; Oceanospirillales; Halomonadaceae.
CCUACGGGCGGAGCAGUGGGGAAUAUUGGACAAUGGGCGAAAGCCUGAUCCAGCCAUGCCGCGUGUGUGAAGAAGGCCUUCGGGUUGUAAAGCACUUUCAGUGGGGAAGAAAGCCUUGGGGCUAAUACCCUCGAGGAAGGACAUCACCCACAGAAGAAGCACCGGCUAACUCCGUGCCAGCAGCCGCGGUAAUACGGAGGGUGCGAGCGUUAAUCGGAAUUACUGGGCGUAAAGCGCGCGUAGGCGGUCUGAUAAGCCGGUUGUGAAAGCCCCGGGCUCAACCUGGGAACGGCAUCCGGAACUGUCAGGCUAGAGUGCAGGAGAGGAAGGUAGAAUUCCCGGUGUAGCGGUGAAAUGCGUAGAGAUCGGGAGGAAUACCAGUGGCGAAGGCGGCCUUCUGGACUGACACUGACGCUGAGGUGCGAAAGCGUGGGUAGCAAACAGGAUUAGAUACCCGAGUAGUC